RNAcentral lists this long non-coding RNA (536 nucleotides) under Erythranthe guttata (spotted monkey flower). RNAcentral describes it as "long non-coding RNA (EGUT_LNC001345)". The record is from RNAcentral. Lineage: Eukaryota; Viridiplantae; Streptophyta; Magnoliopsida; Lamiales; Phrymaceae.
UCUCUUCAUUGUACGGUUUGUAUGGAUUUCAGAUUUCUUAAUACUUUUCGUAUUCAUUAUACAAUAUACUAAUUAUUGAUCAAUAUGAUAAAGUUGCUAUACGAGUAUCUUUGGUUGUGUAGACUGUAUCCUUAUUACUGCAGCUUGAUUACGUUUAAGUUCAUAUUGCUUGAAAGGAAAAGUUUCCGUGCAAAGGUGCAUCUUUGUCUUCAUGUAUUAGUACUACAGCUUGAUUGCUUUAAGUUCAUGUUAGUAUUUGCAUAUUCCGCUCAAUAAUUUCCAUGGUGAAAAGUUAGAAUUCAUUAAAUUUCAGAACCCUCUUAGGUACUUGUUCAGUUAUUUAACGUCACAAAUCUUUAAGUUUCAGGUUUUUAAAGAAUUAAGAAGUUAGACAAUUUUUCGAGAACUCCCGUUUCAUCAUUUGAAGCAAUGGUUGGAAAUAGAAUUGCUACAUUUUACUUAUCCAUUGAAGUACAAAGAAGAUUGUGAGGAGGAAGGAUAUCGCUCCACUAAAGGAAGGACGGUGUAUUUAUAUA